GAGUUUGAUCGUGGCUCAGAACGAACGCUGGCGGCAUGCCUAACACAUGCAAGUCGAACGAUGGCUUCGGCCAUAGUGGCGCACGGGUGAGUAACGCGUGGGAACCUGCCUUUUGGUUUGGGAUAACUCCGGGAAACUGGAGCUAAUACCGGAUGAGCCCGAGCAAUCGGGGAAAGAUUUAUCGCCAAAAGAGGGGCCCGCGUCCGAUUAGGUAGUUGGUGGGGUAACGGCCUACCAAGCCUACGAUCGGUAGCUGGUCUGAGAGGAUGAUCAGCCACACUGGGACUGAGACACGGCCCAGACUCCUACGGGAGGCAGCAGUGGGGAAUAUUGGACAAUGGGCGCAAGCCUGAUCCAGCAAUGCCGCGUGGAUGAUGAAGGCCUUAGGGUUGUAAAGUCCUUUCGGCGGGGACGAUGAUGACGGUACCCGCAGAAGAAGCCCCGGCUAACUUCGUGCCAGCCGCCGCAGUAAC
RNAcentral lists this ribosomal RNA (473 nucleotides) under uncultured Alphaproteobacteria bacterium. RNAcentral's name for it is "bacterial SSU rRNA". It matches the Rfam family "Bacterial small subunit ribosomal RNA", at positions 9 to 524 of the family's 1533-position model. Lineage: Bacteria; Pseudomonadati; Pseudomonadota; Alphaproteobacteria. The record is from RNAcentral.